CCUACGGGAGGCAGCAGUAGGGAAUAUUGCUCAAUGGGGGAAACCCUGAAGUAGCAACGCCGCGUGGAGGAUGAAGGUUUUCGGAUUGUAAACUCCUUUUGUUAGAGAAGAUAAUGACGGUAUCUAACGAAUAAGCACCGGCUAACUCCGUGCCAGCAGCCGCGGUAAUACGGAGGGUGCAAGCGUUACUCGGAAUCACUGGGCGGAAAGAGCGCGUAGGCGGGAUAGCAAGUCAGAUGUGAAAUCCUAUGGCUUAACCAUAGAACUGCAUUUGAAACUGUUAUUCUAGAGUAUGGGAGAGGUAGGUGGAAUUCUUGGUGUAGGGGUAAAAUCCGUAGAGAUCAAGAGGAAUACUCAUUGCGAAGGCGACCUGCUAGAACAUAACUGACGCUGAUGCACGAAAGCGUGGGGAGCAAACAGGAUUAGAUACCCCAGUAGUC
This 440-nucleotide ribosomal RNA is filed under the name uncultured bacterium. RNAcentral's name for it is "partial 16S ribosomal RNA". It matches the Rfam family "Bacterial small subunit ribosomal RNA", at positions 338 to 795 of the family's 1533-position model. The record is from RNAcentral.